CUAUAGAUCGACGUGAAUAUGGAAUUUAAUGACAUUCGGGGGCACUCAAUUAAGAAAAUCUUGUCGCAAAUCGAUAUUGAAAGACAGAAACAGCAAUUUAAGACUAUCUUCAAUUGAAAUAUUUUCGUUGAAAGAUAUAAAAAAAAAUAUACAAAUCGAAGCAAACAGUGUUAUAUGUUUCCAACAAGAGAAUGAGUUCGAUAUAAAAAAAAAAAUCAGUUCUGACUCCUUUGAAAAAUGAAUGCACUCAAAAUUUCUGUAUUUAUGUAUUUAAGAUGUGCUCUUCUGUAUUUAAUUCCAUAUGUAGGAGGAGCAAACCUCCGAUGUAUUGACUGUCGACACUAUUUAUAUAAUUGCAAUGUUAGCAGAGAUCUUUUGAACGCUGGACAUAAUGAAGAUAGUAUAGUGGAUUUACAACCAAAUGAGAAACCAGAUCGAAGUUAUAAGAAAUGCUUAUUGCCCGGUAAAAAAGUAUCUGGGCCGAUUUUCAGUACUGUGUGUUCUGCUACCAAAGACAAAACCUGUGGCGUGUUAGGUACUCGUAGAAGUGUCAUUGUAAAAGGCAUCCAUCAUCAGUGUAGAUAUUGUGCAGCGCCUUGCAAAUGCAAGUUUCGUGGCGGAAAAGUAUCGAAUAUGAAAAAGGACGCUAAACUGAUUAUAUGUUUAAGCCUGUUACUUACUUUGACGUUAAUUAAUAAUCCGAUUUUAUAACAUAAAUUGAAUACAAUAGAAAAUUAAUUUAAAUUAAAAAUUAAAGUUUGGAUGAUCAUCUAUUCAUAGAGGUACAUAUAAAGUACUAUAUUUAAUAUAGCUAAAAUCCCAAAUUUAGCGUUACUCUCAUAUUCGGGCUUUUAGUCAAGUUAUACUAUAAAAUACUACGACAACUACGAAUAGCCGCAAAUAAUCAACUAAAAAACUAUUUCCCUGAGAUGAAACGGAGAUUGUCCUAAUGGAGUACAGAAUACUCGACCAAGGGCACCAGAAACAAACCUGGUGGGACGAACACGCUACCCCGUGCAUGUAGUAUUAGAUCUAUUUAAAUUCCAAAUUAUAUUACUUUAUUAAUCGCAACUGAAAUUUGUAUUGUAUUUGAACUCUCAGCUGCUACAAGCAAUGAACUAACGAUGGCAGAGGUGAUUCGCGUGUGGAAUUUAUGCCUGGCGAUGUUAGAAUCUUCUGAAUACCCUAAGCCAAUGUUGCCGUUUUGUCAAGGUCAUUUGUCUCUUUUGGCAAAUUCGCGAGCAAAUUGAAAACAAAAUCCCAAGAAAAAGCUCUUUGCUAAUGGACCGUUGCGCUGCAUUUAAAGGCAGAGGAAAAGACAGAGGCAGACAUAGAGGCAGUGACAGAUGCACUAACGUGGAUUAAAAAUGUGUUCAAAGUACAAGAGAAAAGACAACGGGACAAACAACAAAAGCAGCGCCGCAAUGAAGCAACCCAGACAGAUCCUGCUUACUUCCGUGCAGCCUGUCUAGCUCUCUUUCCAAUCGCGUUAAUCUAUAAGCAACGCAAUGAAAAUGAAAUGGAACAGCGGUAAACUACGUUUGGGUAUAUUAAGCAAAUUAAAUUUUGUACAGACGCACCCAGAAGAGGCACGUGCAGCAACUUAAGGCCAGGUCUUCCAGGGAGGGAGCCUGGCACCUGCCAAAAAAGCAACAAUCAAAUAAAUACCACUACGAAAAACCAAGCGUCGCAUGCAAAUAAAAGAACGCACAACAAAACGUGACGCUAUAACAACAAAAGUAAACAGAGAAACAUAGAGCAAACGAACAAAAAAAAUAAUAAAACAGUUGUCGAAAUAUAUGUAUGUAUGUAUGCACAAGAACAGAGGAAUAUAAAAAUAAAACGGUAACAAGAGCAUCGGCAGAAAUAACACGCUGACUGCUCAAUGCUUUAAAACUCAGCAGCAAAUCUUCGUUUCACAUUCCAAAAUGUUUCACUCUCGCACUGUCAAACAGAGAGCAAUAAAUUAGGUGGGCGGGCGGAGAUGUUUCAAUUCGCAAAAGCAGUACUCACUCUUCGCUGAAAGCUACUGCUGCUGCUGUCGCACAUCGCGGUUCUUCCACUCUGUCUGUGUCCCACAUCUUCGACUGCGCUUCAGCAACGACGACGCGACGUUGGCGCACAUAUGCCGUUAAGCGCAUCAUGCAUGUUAUUCUCUAAUGGCGGCAACGACUAUGGCUACUCUCAACGCAUUAAACAAUUGUCUGCUCCACAUCCCCAAAUACACAUAUGUACAUACCCAAGCAAAUCGUAGCCACCUGCUGGCAUUGCACUGAAGCACAGUGCAACAGCAUGAGUAAAUUGGAGAUAAGCGGACAAAGAGAAGUCAUAGCUGGGAAAUGUGUGUAUGUUAUGUACAUAUAUAAUUAAAUCAAUAUUUGUAUGCAUUUACAUACAUAUAAUACAAAAAAGACAAUUUUAUUAAUGUUUUUACUAUUAUAUGACAUACUAUUUUAUGACACGUUUUCAGCAGCUGCUUACCACUGUGCACACUUCUAUUUGACAUAAUGAUACCUCCACUCAUCGACCAAGCUAACCAUGUUUUUGUUUCAUUGACGUUGAGACUACUCGCGAUGUAAUUAUCAUCAUGUCAUUACGUCAUAAGCAUGUAAAUCAUCGUUGCAAAUUCGCAUAAGCCUGCGCGAGCACACACACAUUCGAUGAAAAAGAGAGUUAGGGAGAGAGACGACAAUGCACACACACACACACACACACACACACACACAUGCACAAACCCAUUUUAGAUGUCAGCGUUUACCGCUAUUUUGCAUUUUGUUUUGAUUUUAAUUUGGCGCGCACUGUGAGAACAUUCGGUCAUCUGCUGACUUCUUUCACCAUAUAAUAUGCAAUGAAUCGCUAAUGGCCCAGAGUCGGAUAAAAUGACAUGCAAAAAGCUCAGGCAAUUAACAUCAACUUCGACAAGACACGCGAUAAAAGCUGAGCGCUCUUUUUUAUUGCUCAAAUGGAGCGUAAAAUUGGCAGAAAAUAAAAAUUACGAAUUGCAACAA
Molecule: long non-coding RNA, 3008 nt
Organism: Drosophila mojavensis
Lineage: Eukaryota; Metazoa; Arthropoda; Insecta; Diptera; Drosophilidae
Exons: 6
Source: RefSeq, a predicted model, not a curated record